This is a long non-coding RNA of Cicer arietinum (chickpea), 2239 nucleotides long. RefSeq lists it as uncharacterized. NCBI's taxonomy places the organism in Eukaryota, Viridiplantae, Streptophyta, Magnoliopsida, Fabales, Fabaceae. The record is from RefSeq and is a predicted model, not a curated record.
UUGGCUUUAUUAAUUCGAUGUUGUCUAGCUUUACUUUGUUCUUCUUUUCAUUUUAUAAGUCUCCAAGAUAUUUAUUGUGAAUACUUUUGGCUAUUUAGAGGAACUUUCUUUGAGGUGGAUGCAAGGACAGUAGAAAGCUUUGUUGGGUUAGAUAGGAGCAAAUUUGUGCACACAAAAUAAAUGGAAAGCUUGGGUGUCAAAUAUUUGAAUUUUUAUUAACAUUGCUUUACUUAGUAAAAAUGGAAGUGGAGGUUUUUGGUGAAUGAUGAUGCUAUUUGAUAUUAAUUCUUGGAAUUUUAAUAUGGAUCUUUAAGAGCCACGGUGACUCGACUAGAGGAUUAUAUUAGUUCUAGAAAACCCUAAUUAUGGUAGCGUGAUUUGGAAAGUGUUGAGGAUGUCUCUUAGUUUAAAAGUGGACUGCACCUAAGACUUGGUUCAGGGGAAGUGACCCAACUUUGGCAUGAUUAGUGGGUUUGGCCUUUCUCCUUUGAGAAUUUGUUUCCUCGUUUGUUCCAUGUUGCUAUGAAUAAAUUAUGUUGUGUAGCAAAGAUGGAUUGCUUUGAAUGUAAGAUGUGAGCAUUGUCUUGUAGUUGACACAAGAUUCUAUUAUUAGGGGAGUUGAUGAAUAUUUAGUGUAUGUUAUGUCUAAAAAAAUGAAGCGGUUUGGAUAUCCGAAAAAAAUAAGUGAUUAUUAUGUUAAGAGUGGGUAUAAUGUUAUGUUAAACAAUCAUUUUUAUAUAACUUCUAAUGAUGGAUUAUUGCUAGCUUUUCAACAUUCAUGGCAAUGUGCAAUGUUGUCGAAGGUUCAGGUUUUUGUAUGGUGACUGUUCAGAAAACGAUUACCAGCAUCGUAAAAAUUGUGUCUAACACUACUAGAAAAUUGUAUUUUAGCUGCCAAUAUUAGCAUCGGUCCCUGACUCCGACACUACUUAGCGUCGGCGUGGCGUCGGUUGCCGACGCUACUUAAAAUAAAUCUGACACGAGUUUAUUCAUUUAAUUUUUUAUUUUACUAGUUAGCGUCGGAGGUGCCGACGCGACGUUACUUUUAAACUUUUUAGUAUUAAUUGUGAAAUCAGAUUGAGCCUUAUGUUAAAAUUAAUAACAUAUCGUGAACCCUUCUCCUUCUCUCACACUUUGUCAAGGAUGAACCCUACAUUUUGAAUCUGAAAUUGAAUCCAUCACCGGUUCAUAUUGAAUCUGAAAUUGAAUCCAUAUUGGUGAGCCCUUCUCUCACACUUUGUCACCGAUUCUCAUCCCUCUCAAUGCCAUGAGUAUCGACGCCAAACCCGUUCCCAUCUCGAAUAUGUGAGUAUCAAACUCGUCCCCCUCUCGAACCUGUGACCCUAUCGAAUCUGUGACCCUCUCGAACCUGUCACCGUCACCCUCAGAGUCGCCGUUCAGUGUCGUCGUCUCGCUCUCAUCUGUGAACGACUUCAAGGUUAAGCUCACCCAUGAAUGCAUAGGUUUCACUCUCUUAUUCGAACCUCACCCAUUGCAUUGCCUUUCGUUAAAGCAACCCAUUGUCUAGCAAUAAAAUCAGGUUUCAUAUCAGAACUCUACACAUCCAACAACCUCAUAACAGCCUAGGUAAAAUGCAAGGAACUUAAUCUUGCUCACCAACUGUUCGACGAAAUGCCUCAACCAGAUACUGUAUCAUGGAAUGUUGUCAUUUCAAAGCAACAUGAUGUUUGUUCUUGCAGUUUCCAAUGAUAUCAACCUCAAUGCAAAUAUGACUUUUGUUGUUGAGGAGUUCAAGAAUUGCAUACUCCAAUAAAAGAUGGUGGUCCUUUCUUGCAGCUUUAAAAGAACUCUCAUUUUUUGGCUAGAGUAGAUAAUAUCUACAAAAAUUCAAAGUUUUGUUUCUCCCUGAUAAAAAUUCUGAGUAAGGUCGCAGAAGAGGCUAGGGAGCGUUCAAAGAAGUUAGAGAAUGAUUUUGAUGCAUUAAAGCAAUUUUUUGGAGAUAAAAUUGACGCUUUGCACCGUCAAUCAGCUGGUGGAUCAUCUACUGCGAGUCAUCCUCCUUCGCAUCCUCAUUACGAUCAUAAUUUGGACGAUGUGUCGCUGGACGAACCUUAAUGUCAUAGUUAUGCUUACUUUUUGUAGUAAUUGGUUGACAAUUAUGUAUUAAGUUAACUUUGUUAAAGUUGUUAUUCGAUACUAUCUUGUUAUUUUGUAGUUUCAAAACACAUAAUACUUUGUUGAGUAAUUUAAUACUCUGGUGCGUUUAUUUUGUUAACAA